AACGAACGCUGGCGGCAUGCCUAACACAUGCAAGUCGAACGAGACCUUCGGGUCUAGGGGCGCACGGGUGCGUAACGCGUGGGAACCUGCCCUUAGGUUCGGAAUAACUCCCCGAAAGGGGUGCUAAUACCGGAUAAUGUCUUAGGACCAAAGAUUUAUCGCCUUUGGAUGGGCCCGCGUUGAAUUAGCUAGUUGGUAGGGUAAAAGCCUACCAAGGCGACGAUCCAUAGCUGGUCUGAGAGGAUGAUCAGCCACACUGGGACUGAGACACGGCCCAGACUCCUACGGGAGGCAGCAGUGGGGAAUAUUGGACAAUGGGCGAAAGCCUGAUCCAGCAAUGCCGCGUGAGUGAUGAAGGCCUUAGGGUUGUAAAGCUCUUUUACCCGGGAUGAUAAUGACAGUACCGGGAGAAUAAGCUCCGGCUAACUCCGUG
Molecule: ribosomal RNA, 433 nt
Filed under: uncultured bacterium
Lineage: Bacteria
Description: partial 16S ribosomal RNA
Rfam family: Bacterial small subunit ribosomal RNA
Source: RNAcentral